Molecule: ribosomal RNA, 333 nt
Filed under: uncultured bacterium
Lineage: Bacteria
Description: bacterial SSU rRNA
Rfam family: Bacterial small subunit ribosomal RNA
Source: RNAcentral
CGCGUAGGCGGUGAUUUAAGUGAGGUGUGCAAUCCCCGGGCGUUAACCUGGGAGCUGCACCUCAGACUGGAUCGCUAGAGUACUGGAGAGGGUGGUAGAAUUCCACGUGUAGCGGUGAAAUGCGUAGAGAUGUGGAGGAAUACCAGUGGCGAAGGCGGCCACCUGGACAGUAACUGACGCUGAGGCGCGAAAGCGUGGGUAGCAAACAGGAUUAGAUACCCUGGUAGUCCACGCUGUAAACGAUGAACACUUGGUGUGGUGGGAGUUGACCCCCGCUGUGCCGUAGCUAACGCGAUAAGUGUUCCGCCUGGGGAGUACGGUCGCAAGGCUGAA